UGAGGAAUAUUGGUCAAUGGGCGAGAGCCUGAACCAGCCAAGUAGCGUGCAGGAUGACGGCCCUAUGGGUUGUAAACUGCUUUUAUGCGGGGAUAAAGUGAGGGACGUGUCCCUUUUUGUAUGUACCGCAUGAAUAAGGACCGGCUAAUUCCGUG
RNAcentral lists this ribosomal RNA (155 nucleotides) under uncultured bacterium. RNAcentral describes it as "partial 16S ribosomal RNA". It matches the Rfam family "Bacterial small subunit ribosomal RNA", at positions 355 to 507 of the family's 1533-position model. The record is from RNAcentral.